GACGAACGCUGGCGGCGUGCUUAACACAUGCAAGUCGAGCGGUAAGGCCCUUUCGGGGGUACGACGAGCGGCGAACGGGUGAGUAACACGUGGGUGACCUGCCCUCAGCUCUGGGAUAAGCCUGGGAAACUGGGUCUAAUACUGGAUAUGACUCCACGGUGCAUGUCGUGGGGUGGAAAGCCUUGCGCGGCUGAGGAUGGGCCCGCGGCCUAUCAGCUUGUUGGUGGGGUGAUGGCCUACCAAGGCGACGACGGGUAGCCGGCCUGAGAGGGCGACCGGCCACACUGGGGCUGAGACACGGCCCAGACUCCUACGGGAGGCAGCAGUGGGGAAUCUUGCGCAAUGGGCGAAAGCCUGACGCAGCGACGCCGCGUGAGGGAUGACGGCCUGGUGUAACU
RNAcentral lists this ribosomal RNA (398 nucleotides) under uncultured bacterium. RNAcentral's name for it is "bacterial SSU rRNA". It matches the Rfam family "Bacterial small subunit ribosomal RNA", at positions 28 to 430 of the family's 1533-position model. The record is from RNAcentral.